Molecule: ribosomal RNA, 253 nt
Filed under: uncultured bacterium
Lineage: Bacteria
Description: partial 16S ribosomal RNA
Rfam family: Bacterial small subunit ribosomal RNA
Source: RNAcentral
UACGAAGGGUGCAAACGUUGCUCGGAAUCAUUGGGCGUAAAGCGCACGUAGGCGGCUUUGCAAGUCGGAUGUGAAAUCCCAUGGCUCAACCAUGGACGUGCAUUCGAAACUGCAAAGCUUGAGUAUGGAAGAGGGUCGCGGAAUUCCCGGUGUAGAGGUGAAAUUCGUAGAUAUCGGGAGGAACACCAGUGGCGAAGGCGGCGACCUGGGCCAAUACUGACGCUGAGGUGCGAAAGCGUGGGGAGCAAACAGG